RNAcentral lists this ribosomal RNA (279 nucleotides) under uncultured bacterium. RNAcentral's name for it is "partial 16S ribosomal RNA". It matches the Rfam family "Bacterial small subunit ribosomal RNA", at positions 506 to 784 of the family's 1533-position model. The record is from RNAcentral.
UGCCAGCCGCCGCGGUAAUACGGAGGGGGCUAGCGUUGUUCGGAUUUACUGGGCGUAAAGCGCACGUAGGCGGCGCGUCAAGUUAGAGGUGAAAGCCCUGGGCUCAACCUAGGAAUUGCCUUUAAUACUGACGUGCUUGAGGCCGGAAGAGGGUGACGGAAUUCCCAGUGUAGAGGUGAAAUUCGUAGAUAUUGGGAAGAACACCAGUGGCGAAGGCGGUCACCUGGUCCGGUACUGACGCUGAGGUGCGAAAGCGUGGGGAGCAAACAGGAUUAGAUA